AUUCUCUCUUGUGUUAUAUUUUAUCUCUCUCAAAGCUCCCUCUCCCUCAAAGAAAUAUUUCUCCGAACAAUUUCACCUAUUAGUGUCUACAAUCACCUUAGUUGUUCAGCAAUUGAAGAAAGAUUCAAAUCCAAAGAUUUAUAAUGAAGAUAUCUUCUAGAUUCACAAGUUCGUUGAUCGUUUUUACAUGUCGCAAAUUGGAAUCCGAAUGCCUAUAGGGAAGCAGGUGGAAUUGCACAAUCUGAAUCUGAAUCCUCAUGUUGUAGGUUAUAUAGACACAAUAAUGUCUCCAGCGGGGGGUAGCGAGAAAUGCUAGAGACGAUGCACACGCUAUAUGAUGUCGUGAUAAUGGAAGUCCCUCGAUUUACAUAUUUACGGCGAUUCUGAUUUAACCUUUCCUUGAGUUAGAUACAUUUUACUUCAAUGAAUUCAUCCGGUCGAUUUUUUAAAAUAUUAAUAAUGGUAUGUUUCUGCAAUAGCCUCUGGGAACAUUCGUCAGCUUACUAUUUACAAGGAGAUUGAUCUUUAUAUUGCAAGAUGCAUUUGGCAACACAGUUAAAGAUGGUACAUGACCAAUGUUUCUGAUUUCUUCUUAGUAUCUCCUUUGCAUUUUCUCUUUCCAAUUCUAUUGGAUGCCUCGGUACCAAAGAUCAGAUGAGUAGAAUGCCCAUUUAUUUAUGCCGUGUGAUCACCGGUGCACAGAAUGGAAAAUACAAUUGCUAAUCUGAUUGUAAUAUUUUUUUUAAUGUCGUGAAAGUAAUUAUUGUAAUAUUUUAUGAGCCUAAAUUAAUAGCCUUCUUUGAAAAUUUCCAUAUGCCAAGAUAUGUAGUAUUAAAUGUCUUCCAACUUCGAGUUUCUUCAUUCAAUUAGACCUUUCUGGAAUUUCUGUUUCGUGUAUAAAUCCACUGUGUCUCGUCAUUAACAUGGCUUUUUUUACAAGUAGUGAGUAUUGGUUGGGGAUAUAUAGCUUUAGGACAAUUCAUUGCCAUUUUCUUUGUAAUUUAUACCCAGUUAUUGUAUGCUCACAGAUACUAAAGUGCUUAUCUUUUAUUUAUGUUAAGGUGGAGACAUGAGGCAAAUA
Long non-coding RNA from Vicia villosa (hairy vetch), 1081 nucleotides. RefSeq lists it as uncharacterized. The record is from RefSeq and is a predicted model, not a curated record. NCBI's taxonomy places the organism in Eukaryota, Viridiplantae, Streptophyta, Magnoliopsida, Fabales, Fabaceae. The transcript is spliced from 3 exons.